GGUCUGGUAGCUCAGCGGUAGAGCAAUUGGCUGUUAACCAAUCGGUCGGUGGUUCGAUCCCACCCCAGUCCGCCA
Molecule: transfer RNA, 75 nt
Filed under: Herbiconiux daphne
Lineage: Bacteria; Bacillati; Actinomycetota; Actinomycetes; Micrococcales; Microbacteriaceae
Description: tRNA-Asn
Rfam family: tRNA
About the family: Transfer RNA (tRNA) molecules are approximately 80 nucleotides in length. Their secondary structure includes four short double-helical elements and three loops (D, anti-codon, and T loops). Further hydrogen bonds mediate the characteristic L-shaped molecular structure. tRNAs have two regions of fundamental functional importance: the anti-codon, which is responsible for specific mRNA codon recognition, and the 3' end, to which the tRNAs corresponding amino acid is attached (by aminoacyl-tRNA synthetases). tRNAs cope with the degeneracy of the genetic code in two manners: having more than one tRNA (with a specific anti-codon) for a particular amino acid; and 'wobble' base-pairing, i.e. permitting non-standard base-pairing at the 3rd anti-codon position.
Source: RNAcentral